Molecule: long non-coding RNA, 1158 nt
Organism: Ictalurus punctatus (channel catfish)
Lineage: Eukaryota; Metazoa; Chordata; Actinopteri; Siluriformes; Ictaluridae
Exons: 5
Source: RefSeq, a predicted model, not a curated record
CCCCGUCAUAUUAACGGCAGGUGAAAUCAAGCUGAAUGACCUACUGUGAUUGGCCAAUGGCUCUAAUUAGCAUAUAGCGCGUGAGAGACGCGCAUCUAACGCACUUCCCAAAUCAUUCCAAACAGUAGCCUACUCUUACCUACUGUAUGUGAGGCAGCAACUGGUGUGGCGUAUUUAUUUAUUAUUUUUUGUGAUACACUAUUUAGUGUGCUAGUGCGCAAUUUGGGACGUUCACCACAGCUGUUUUAAUGAGCGCGAGCAUGAACUCAACACUCAAAACAAGAAGAAACGUAGCGUUAACGUUUCUUUUUUCUUUCCUUCUUUCUGGAAACAACAAAUAAACCCUACGUUAUUUUAUAAAAGGCCAAACUUUUCAUAAACUCUUCAUGGGGAAAGCUCUUUUUUGACCUCAACUACUUUCCCCAACUCAUUAUAGUCGGACGCUCACAGCUCAUUUCUGUCAACACAGCGCUGAGAGACCAGUCUACCAGCUUGUCACACCAAAAGAAAUCUGCGAAAAUCGAUGGCAGUUGACACUAGAGGACGAGGGAGUGUACGAGUGCUCGGAGACAGGGCUGGUGUUUGAGGUGUCUCAGAGUGUCCAGAUCCGCUACCGUGUCCUUUCCUGGAGCAAGUUCGGCGCUUUCCUGAGUGACUCGUGGAGGUUUGCCGGGCCCAUUUUCGACGUGGACUGUGAUUCUUCCAUCCUCAAGUCCAUCCAGUUUCCUCAUUCACUCUGUCUGGCAGAUCAGGACAACGAGGUGAAAUUCAGUGUCCUGCACGUGAAGAAACACAAGGGCCUCAUCGAGCCUUCAGUUGAUCACUCGCGCAGUCAUAUAUAGUGGAAUGUGUCGUCUCUGUCUCCGGUGGGGCCGGUCGUACGGACGUCUAAGCCAGCCGAGCACCACGGUGUUGUCCAGGUCUAUAAGGAAGUGGGCCAGCAGGACUCGUACUCUUUCAGGGUCUACCUCGCUACCAGCAACGACUCUGAAAUCACUUGUGUGCAGAGUCCAGUGGGGUGUUUUCCUAUUGAUCUGCCCUGGGAUGGAGACUGACGAGGCUUAAGUACACUUCCGGAAGCGUGCAGGCAACCAAUCCUGUCGCACAAGGAGGGAGCAGGUGUGGACAAGACGUGAUCGUCCAGUAGCAGGCCGGAAC